Molecule: non-coding RNA, 292 nt
Organism: Camellia sinensis
Lineage: Eukaryota; Viridiplantae; Streptophyta; Magnoliopsida; Ericales; Theaceae
Source: RefSeq, a predicted model, not a curated record
UUGAAGGGGAAGGGUUUCAAUCGGCGGCGAGACUGGUUCAACAGCGGGAAGACUAGUUCGGCGGCGAGACGGGUGGAACAAGAGGACAAUUCUGUGAAGAAAGCACUUCAAAGCCAUCUUCACCAAACCUCAAGAGCUCAGGCACUAGGAAAGAGCAUGAUGAACUUGAAUCAGCAAAAGCUGAGAUGACAGAAUUGAGACAAGAAAAUGCAAGAUUAAAGAUGAUGUCAGAGCAAAUAGAGAAGGAUUAGCAUGAUGAACUUUUGUUUUUGUUAUUUACGAAGAAUGAUGA